RNAcentral lists this ribosomal RNA (229 nucleotides) under uncultured bacterium. Its description in RNAcentral is "partial 16S ribosomal RNA". It matches the Rfam family "Bacterial small subunit ribosomal RNA", at positions 568 to 796 of the family's 1533-position model. The record is from RNAcentral.
UGCGUAGGCGGGCUAAUAAGUCAGUGGUGAAAUCUUUCGGCUCAACCGAGAAACUGCCAUUGAUACUGUUAGUCUUGGGUUCGGUUGAGGUAGGCGGAAUGUGUAAUGUAGCGGUGAAAUGCUUAGAUAUUACACAGAACACCAAUUGCGUAGGCAGCUUACUAGACCGACACUGACGCUGAGGCACGAAAGCGUGGGGAGCGAACAGGAUUAGAUACCCUGGUAGUCC